RNAcentral lists this ribosomal RNA (312 nucleotides) under uncultured Glomeromycotina. RNAcentral's name for it is "LSU rRNA". The record is from RNAcentral. Lineage: Eukaryota; Fungi; Glomeromycota.
UUGAAAGGGAAACGAUUGAAGUCAGUCAUGCCGGUGGGAAUCAACUUGGGGGAAACUCUGGGUGCACUUCUUCGCUUGGCAGGUCAACGUCGAUUUUGAAUGUCAUAAAAUAAUUGGGGGAAGGUAGCUCCUUCGGGAGUGUUAUAGCCCUUGAUAGAUGUGAUGUUUGAGGUCAGGGAUUGCAACGGAUACCCUUUGGGGCUAGCUGCCUGAUCUCUAAUUGGUGUUGGGUUACGGAUAGCAUGCUGACCGUGACCUAAUUACUGGUUAAAAGGUUAAAGUGUGCAUAAAUUCGUUAAGGAUGUUGACGUA